GCCGCUGCAGAGUUUGAUCCUGGCUCAGAUUGAACGCUGGCGGCAGGCUUAACACAUGCAAGUCGAGCGGGGGAAGGUAGCUUGCUACCGGACCUAGCGGCGGACGGGUGAGUAAUGCUUAGGAAUCUGCCUAUUAGUGGGGGACAACAUCUCGAAAGGGAUGCUAAUACCGCAUACGUCCUACGGGAGAAAGCAGGGGAUCUUCGGACCUUGCGCUAAUAGAUGAGCCUAAGUCGGAUUAGCUAGUUGGUGGGGUAAAGGCCUACCAAGGCGACGAUCUGUAGCGGGUCUGAGAGGAUGAUCCGCCACACUGGGACUGAGACACGGCCCAGACUCCUACGGGAGGCAGCAGUGGGGAAUAUUGGACAAUGGGGGGAACCCUGAUCCAGCCAUGCCGCGUGUGUGAAGAAGGCCUUAUGGUUGUAAAGCACUUUAAGCGAGGAGGAGGCUACUCUAGUUAAUACCUAGGGAUAGUGGACGUUACUCGCAGAAUAAGC
Molecule: ribosomal RNA, 497 nt
Filed under: Acinetobacter baumannii
Lineage: Bacteria; Pseudomonadati; Pseudomonadota; Gammaproteobacteria; Moraxellales; Moraxellaceae
Description: bacterial SSU rRNA
Rfam family: Bacterial small subunit ribosomal RNA
Source: RNAcentral